GCACCCGUAGCUCAGUGGACUAGAGCAGCCGAUUUCUAAUCGGCCGGUCGCAGGUUCGAUCCCUGCCGGGUGCG
RNAcentral lists this transfer RNA (74 nucleotides) under Verrucomicrobiaceae bacterium. RNAcentral describes it as "tRNA-Arg". It matches the Rfam family "tRNA". From Rfam's summary of the family: Transfer RNA (tRNA) molecules are approximately 80 nucleotides in length. Their secondary structure includes four short double-helical elements and three loops (D, anti-codon, and T loops). Lineage: Bacteria; Pseudomonadati; Verrucomicrobiota; Verrucomicrobiia; Verrucomicrobiales; Verrucomicrobiaceae. The record is from RNAcentral.